This is a small nucleolar RNA of Aotus nancymaae (Ma's night monkey), 134 nucleotides long. Its record names the gene SNORA71. It matches the Rfam family "Small nucleolar RNA SNORA71". From Rfam's summary of the family: The members of this family belong to the H/ACA class of snoRNAs which bind a number of proteins (including dyskerin, Gar1p and Nop10p) to form snoRNP complexes. This class of snoRNAs are thought to guide the sites of modification of uridines to pseudouridines by forming direct base pairing interactions with substrate RNAs. NCBI's taxonomy places the organism in Eukaryota, Metazoa, Chordata, Mammalia, Primates, Aotidae. The record is from Ensembl.
CCCUGUAUUCGAAAGUGAUCGUGGGCUGCCCAUGCCCUGGUCAUUGAUAGUGCAGGGAGAGAAAUCGCUGAAAGCACUUCCCCGUGUUUGGAGGGUCCACUCCUGUCCCUUCCAAACUCUGGAGUUUUCUCACA